ACACCCACACAGCGCUUCCUAAAGGCAGGGACAGGAGCUGGCCUCCCUCGCCUGCUGGCAUGGGGCUGGACACAGGAGGAAGUGGCGUGGGGGCUGCCUGAGGGGAGUGAGGCGGCAGGAUAGCUUCCCCAGCAGGUCUCUGGCUCAGGUCCAGGUAUCUCCUCCUCCCCAUACCUCUGCCUCUCGCCUCCGCUCAGAAAAGCAGGUGCCCUUAAGAGCCAUCUCCACCCCCAUGUAAACUGCACACAGGAAGGGAGAGGCCACUCCGACUGCUCUGAGGUCCAGGUGGCCCUCGCCCCGGCCCACCCGCGCCUCCCAGGCCCAGCCUCACCUGCUGCCGAGAGAGGACAGUGAUCCCCCAAAAGCCGGAGGUGGAGGAGGAGGAGGAAGAGGAGGAAGGAGCUGGAGGAGCCGGGGACUCGCCCGCUGAAGAUGCUCUUGUCAAGACAAUGAAUGAGAAGCAGCCGUGCGCCCGCCUCCGGGGUGGCCGCGCCCCUUGGGGCGGAGCUCUUCCAGGCCCGCCCUGCGCUCCCGGGCUCCCGCUGCGGCCGCCUCUCUCCCCGGCCCCUGCCCGUGCACCACGUUGGUCCCCAACCAUAGCGCAGGCUGCCAUCCCGGCUCCGGGAAGCGAAUCUAAACUUCUUUUUAAAAUGUCAAAACGCAA
RNAcentral lists this long non-coding RNA (664 nucleotides) under Homo sapiens (human). Its description in RNAcentral is "CORO1A antisense RNA 1, transcript variant 3 (CORO1A-AS1)". Lineage: Eukaryota; Metazoa; Chordata; Mammalia; Primates; Hominidae. The record is from RNAcentral.